UACGUAGGGGGCAAGCGUUAUCCGGAUUCACUGGGUGUAAAGGGAGCGCAGGCGGCGCGGCAAGUCCGAUGUGAAAACCCCCGGCUCAACCGGGGGACUGCAUUGGAAACUACCGGGCUGGAGUGCCGGAGAGGUAGGCGGAAUUCCUGGUGUAGCGGUGAAAUGCGUAGAUAUCAGGAGGAACACCAGUGGCGAAGGCGGCCUACUGGACGGUGACUGACGCUGAGGCUCGAAAGCGUGGGGAGCGAACAGG
RNAcentral lists this ribosomal RNA (253 nucleotides) under uncultured bacterium. RNAcentral's name for it is "partial 16S ribosomal RNA". It matches the Rfam family "Bacterial small subunit ribosomal RNA", at positions 524 to 776 of the family's 1533-position model. The record is from RNAcentral.